AUACUUGCCUGGCUGGGAGAUAUCACCUUAAGGAAGGCAGAUUUCACAGGGUGAGGCACAUUCAUUGCAUUCCAGGUGUGUUGAUCCCAGAAAUUAUUCCAAGUAAGAAACUACAGAAUUUAUCUUAAGGAGAUUGUAUAUAUAUAUAUAUAUAUAUU
This is a small nuclear RNA of Dromiciops gliroides (monito del monte), 158 nucleotides long. RefSeq annotates it as U1 spliceosomal RNA. Lineage: Eukaryota; Metazoa; Chordata; Mammalia; Microbiotheria; Microbiotheriidae. The record is from RefSeq and is a predicted model, not a curated record. The transcript has a single exon.